GCCCCAGUGGCCUAAUGGCUAAGGCACUGGCCUCCUAAGCCAGGGAUUGUGCGUUCAAGUCCCAUCUGGGGUG
This 73-nucleotide transfer RNA is filed under the name Albula glossodonta (roundjaw bonefish). It matches the Rfam family "tRNA". Rfam says of the family: Transfer RNA (tRNA) molecules are approximately 80 nucleotides in length. Their secondary structure includes four short double-helical elements and three loops (D, anti-codon, and T loops). Further hydrogen bonds mediate the characteristic L-shaped molecular structure. tRNAs have two regions of fundamental functional importance: the anti-codon, which is responsible for specific mRNA codon recognition, and the 3' end, to which the tRNAs corresponding amino acid is attached (by aminoacyl-tRNA synthetases). tRNAs cope with the degeneracy of the genetic code in two manners: having more than one tRNA (with a specific anti-codon) for a particular amino acid; and 'wobble' base-pairing, i.e. permitting non-standard base-pairing at the 3rd anti-codon position. Lineage: Eukaryota; Metazoa; Chordata; Actinopteri; Albuliformes; Albulidae. The record is from Rfam by way of RNAcentral.